Sapajus apella (tufted capuchin) is the source of this 82-nucleotide long non-coding RNA. RefSeq lists it as uncharacterized. Lineage: Eukaryota; Metazoa; Chordata; Mammalia; Primates; Cebidae. The record is from RefSeq and is a predicted model, not a curated record. The transcript is spliced from 3 exons.
AAAGCAAACCACACCAAUUCUAGCAGAAGAGAAAUAACCAAAAUCAGAGCUGAACUGAAUAAAACUGAGAUGUGAAAAUCCA